UCAGCCCUCAGAGUGGAACGAGCACCGUCGGCUGCAUAAUGUGACAAGCCUGUCACUGCUCGACGACACUCUUACACAUGCACACGGUGGCAUGCCCGCACGAUGAACGCCCACCAGCAAAUUGCCGUCCUGGCACACAACAUCCACAGGCACAAGUAUGCAAGCAGAAG
Molecule: long non-coding RNA, 170 nt
Organism: Thalassophryne amazonica
Lineage: Eukaryota; Metazoa; Chordata; Actinopteri; Batrachoidiformes; Batrachoididae
Exons: 3
Source: RefSeq, a predicted model, not a curated record